RNAcentral lists this ribosomal RNA (507 nucleotides) under uncultured bacterium. Its description in RNAcentral is "bacterial SSU rRNA". It matches the Rfam family "Bacterial small subunit ribosomal RNA", at positions 355 to 882 of the family's 1533-position model. The record is from RNAcentral.
UGGGGAAUCUUGGACAAUGGGGCAACCCUGAUCCAGCCAUGCCGCGUGAGUGAUGAAGGCCUUAGGGUCGUAAAGCUCUUUCGCCUGUGAAGAUAAUGACGGUAGCAGGUAAAGAAACCCCGGCUAACUCCGUGCCAGCAGCCGCGGUAAUACGGAGGGGGUUAGCGUUAUUCGGAUUUACUGGGCGUAAAGGGCGUGUAGGCGGCUUGAUAGUCAAAGGUGAAAGCCCUCGGCUCAACCGAGGAACUGCCUUUGAAACCAUCUAGCUCGAGGCCGGGAGGGGGUAGCGGAAUUCCUGGUGUAGCGGUGAAAUGCGUAGAUAUCAGGAGGAACACCAGUGGCGAAGGCGGCUACCUGGACCGGUUCUGACGCUGAGGCGCGAAAGCGUGGGGAGCAACGAGGAUUAGAUACCCUGGUAGUCCACACCGUAAACGAUGAAUGCCAGUCGUCGGGUAGCAUGCUAUUCGGUGACACACCUAACGGAUUAAGCAUUCCGCCUGGGGAGUA